UGGGGGAUAUUGCACAAUGGGCGAAAGCCUGAUGCAGCGACGCCGCGUGGGGGAUGAAGGCCUUCGGGUUGUAAACUUCUUUUGCUCUGAACAAGGCGCACCAUGGGGUGUGUUGAGUGUAGGGGUUGAUUAGCGCCGGCUAACUACGUGCCAGCAGCCGCGGUAAUACGUAGGGCGCGAGCGUUGUCCGGAAUUAUUGGGCGUAAAGGGCUUGUAGGUGGCUGGUUGCGUCUGUCGUGAAAGCUCAUGGCUUAACUGUGGGUUUGCGGUGGGUACGGGCUGGCUUGAGUGCAGUAGGGGAGGCUGGAAUUCCUGGUGUAGCGGUGGAAUGCGCAGAUAUCAGGAGGAAUACCGGUGGCGAAGGCGGGUCUCUGGGCUGUUACUGACACUGAGGAGCGAAAGCAUGGGGGGCGAACAGG
Molecule: ribosomal RNA, 419 nt
Filed under: bacterium
Lineage: Bacteria
Description: partial 16S ribosomal RNA
Rfam family: Bacterial small subunit ribosomal RNA
Source: RNAcentral